RNAcentral lists this unclassified non-coding RNA (2210 nucleotides) under Acanthaster planci (crown-of-thorns starfish). RNAcentral's name for it is "uncharacterized LOC110987698, transcript variant X1". The record is from RNAcentral. Lineage: Eukaryota; Metazoa; Echinodermata; Asteroidea; Valvatida; Acanthasteridae.
UGAGAUUUCUGUUUGAAUAUUUAUGAGGUGUAGUAAAACAAAUACAGCAUUGUUUAUUUCGGGAAAAAAGUUGGAAUUCUGAAAAGCGCCAUAGAAGGGCCGUUAUGAAUCUCCAAAUUCAUUUGCCUUCCGAGUCGUUCCCCAAAUUACCAAACUCCUGCAGCUUAAGUUGACCCCACAAAAUUUGGUUUGGAUGCCAGGUGUGGUCACAACUCCCCGUAGCUUUGACUGUAUCUGGUUGGCAAGGUGGUACGCGUUAUAUAUAUUGCUUUAAUGACUUACCACAAUGCCUUAAUUUUAUCGGCUGAUCUCCAUUGGGAAUAUUGAGCGCUGAAGCACUGACACCUCUCGAUAGGGGAUUUACUGAGAUAGUAUGUAAAUCCACAAAUCCGCAACCUCGCGGACUAUCCUUUGUGCCACGACAGUGGUACUAUUUGCUGGGCAUUGUGACACAAAAAGCCACUUCUUUAAUCGACUUGUACUGGUUUGCGCUCGUUGCUGUGAAGUUGGUUACUAUUCGUCUGUCCGGAAAGCCAUCUUUUCUGAUUACUAAACAUUAUGCGAUCUCUGCCGGUCUUCGUUGUUUUCGGCCUUUUGGCUUGUCAGGUCCUGGCCUGGCCUGAACACCGGACCUUCCAGGAGUUUCCCGAGCUCAAGCGUCGUUUCCAGAGCCAACUGAUUGAAGAACUGAUCUCUCGUCUUCUGGAAGACAAACGGCAAAUGCAACCAGCCUGCGCUGCCGCCGAUGAUUUCUUCUGCUGGGAUACUGGUUGCAAUGCUGAUCUCGGUGACUUUGGAUCUGCAUUCAUCGAGUACAAACCAGACGGGGAUGCUUACAAGUUAUCCAUUGGACUUACAUACUGCUGUAAUAGAGAAGGAUUCUGGGAUGAGCACGUGGACUAUGUGAAGACAGUGGCCAGUCUGUCUGGUAAGCUUCCAUUCAGUUCAAAAACGUUCACCAUCAACGGCCAGCGGUUCAAGAUGACCGUUCAAAAAAUUGUGACUGGAGGUGCUGAUCUGAAGGUAGAAGGUGUGUGCGUUGAAAAGGUGAACUACAUGUAGCAGCGCCCUUCCUUCUCGGAAAAGAUUUGGACACAAGAAUGAUUGGAAUUAGAAACCGUACGGAAAUUUAAUUUUAUUCGUAAUCUGGUUCCCUUAAGAAACCUAUGGAGUCUUGAUAGGUAAUCCACAGUAUCCGCGGUGUUCUUAGUUGGGGGCUUAAUGGACUUUUUCUUACUUGUUUCUAACCGUUUAAGAAUCUCUAACCCCACCUCAAUACCCCAACCCCAGAAAGGCAAUAUUAUGACUGUUUCUAAAGUGGAAAAACUCUCCAAAGUAUCCCCAAACAAAAAAUGCACAAAACUUGUUUUCUUCUUUUUUUAUUUUGAUAUUCGAGAUGUGGUUAAGGUUUAGCACGGUCUUGUUGGGCUGACAUCUUUUUAUCAAUUGUAGCUCAAACAUUUGCCGGAGAAACACAUACGCUUAAUGGGAGGUAACAGUUUGGAGCAACAGAGAAAUAUGGAAAAAAGGAUUCACAAAUCGAGCCCCUUCAGUUCUCCAUUGCGUGAAGACAGCGAUGAAGCCAUCAAGCUAUUGCGUAUUGUUUAGUUUGCAUUGAAAUCCAGGUCAGUCACCUAUACGCUUCAUCUGAUGCCAUCCUCUUAUACGGACAAAGAGACAUAAAACCUCUAAGCCUAGGAGCUAUCCGAUUUUGUCAAGUCAUCGACUACGAAGUGACGAAGCCAGGCUCUUCCCGGGCAGUUAUAGUACCCUCCUUGUCUACGGCACUGAGUUGGUGUAACGGACGACUCCCUCAAGAAACUUGUUCAAUGAGCAGGGGCAGAUCCAGCGGGUUGAGGACCAACCUCCUUCUGCUUAUGACAAUUUUUCAAGAAGGGACCUGGGUCUAAAUGUUGGUUUUAAAGGGGUUUGCGAACAGAGAAUGGGAUGGGUUACGAACAAAUAUUUCCCACGCCUCCUCAAAAACUCCUGGAUCCGCCCCUGAGGUCCUUUUAUAUAUCCACAGUUAACUUCUAUAUGUCAACAGAAAAAGCCCCAAUAACAGGAAAAAUAAAUCCUGAUUUUGAUCCUCAAAACAAGUUUUUCCUCUGACAAUUUGCUUCUGUCCUUGUUAAAACAUGAGUGAGAGACAGGUGAUUUCUGGAGUUAUGGCGUUUUCGUUCUCAGACGGUAAGCCCCAGCAUAUGAUG